AGAGGUGCAGGGCCUGGACGAUGGGCCUGGAGCGUUGCUGGCGCAGCAGCCACCGUGCCUGGGGUUCGAGUUCGCGCGCCUCGC
This 84-nucleotide transfer RNA is filed under the name Hydrogenophaga intermedia. RNAcentral describes it as "tRNA-Ser". RNAcentral also lists the same sequence under 6 other names. Lineage: Bacteria; Pseudomonadati; Pseudomonadota; Betaproteobacteria; Burkholderiales; Comamonadaceae. The record is from RNAcentral.